CGAAUGGCUCAUUAUAUAAGUUAUCGUUUAUUUGAUAGUACCUUACUACUUGGAUAACCGUGGUAAUUCUAGAGCUAAUACAUGCUAAAAAUCCCGACUUCGGAAGGGAUGUAUUUAUUAGAUUAAAAACCAAUGCCCUCUGGGCUCCUUGGUGAUUCAUAAUAACUUUUCGAAUCGCAUGGCCUUGCGCCGGCGAUGGUUCAUUCAAAUUUCUUCCCUAUCAACUUUCGAUGUUUGGGUAUUGGCCAAACAUGGUCGCAACGGGUAACGGAGGGUUAGGGCUCGACCCCGGAGAAGGAGCCUGAGAAACGGCUACUACAUCCAAGGAAGGCAGCAGGCGCGCAAAUUACCCAAUCCCGAUUCGGGGAGGUAGUGACAAUAAAUACUGAUACAGGGCUCUUUUGGGUCUUGUAAUUGGAAUGAGUACAAUUUAAAUCUCUUAACGAGGAACAAUUGGAGGGCAAGUCUGGUGCCAGCAGCCGCGGUAAUUCCAGCUCCAAUAGCGUAUAUUAAAGUUGUUGUGGUUAAAAAGCUCGUAGUUGAACCUUGGGCCUGGCUGGCCGGUCCGCCUCACCGCGUGUACUGGUCCGGCCGGGCCUUUCCCUCUGUGGAACCUCAUGCCCUUCACUGGGUGUGGCGGGGAAACAGGACUUUUACUUUGAAAAAAUUAGAGUGCUCCAGGCAGGCCUAUGCUCGAAUACAUUAGCAUGGAAUAAUGAAAUAGGACGUGUGGUUCUAUUUUGUUGGUUUCUAGGACCGCCGUAAUGAUUAAUAGGGACAGUCGGGGGCAUCAGUAUUCAAUUGUCAGAGGUGAAAUUCUUGGAUUUAUUGAAGACUAACUACUGCGAAAGCAUUUGCCAAGGAUGUUUUCAUUAAUCAGGAACGAAAGUUAGGGGAUCGAAGACGAUCAGAUACCGUCGUAGUCUUAACCAUAAACUAUGCCGACUAGGGAUCGGACGAUGUUAUUUUUUGACGCGUU
Molecule: ribosomal RNA, 979 nt
Filed under: Gamszarella antillana
Lineage: Eukaryota; Fungi; Ascomycota; Sordariomycetes; Hypocreales; Cordycipitaceae
Description: SSU rRNA
Rfam family: Eukaryotic small subunit ribosomal RNA
Source: RNAcentral